RNAcentral lists this ribosomal RNA (429 nucleotides) under bacterium. Its description in RNAcentral is "partial 16S ribosomal RNA". It matches the Rfam family "Bacterial small subunit ribosomal RNA", at positions 355 to 776 of the family's 1533-position model. The record is from RNAcentral.
UAGGGAAUCUUCCACAAUGGACGCAAGUCUGAUGGAGCAACGCCGCGUGAGUGAAGAAGGUUUUCGGAUCGUAAAGCUCUGUUGUUGGUGAAGAAGGAUAGAGGCAGUAACUGGUCUUUAUUUGACGGUAAUCAACCAGAAAGUCACGGCUAACUACGUGCCAGCAGCCGCGGUAAUACGUAGGUGGCAAGCGUUGUCCGGAUUUAUUGGGCGUAAAGCGAGCGCAGGCGGAAUGAUAAGUCUGAUGUGAAAGCCCACGGCUCAACCGUGGAACUGGCUCGGAAACUGUAAUGCUUGAAUGCAGAAGAGGAGAGUGGAAUUCCAUGUGUAGCGGUGGAAUGCGUAGAUAUAUGGAAGAACACCAGUGGCGAAGGCGGCUCUCUGGUCUGCAACUGACGCUGAGGCUCGAAAGCAUGGGUAGCGAACAGG